Molecule: long non-coding RNA, 888 nt
Filed under: Gallus gallus (chicken)
Lineage: Eukaryota; Metazoa; Chordata; Aves; Galliformes; Phasianidae
Description: lncRNA (ENSGALG00010004955.1)
Source: RNAcentral
CUCUAAGGAGGCUGUGAUGCAUGCGAAGGAAAGCAACUGACUUAACUCAUUGGGAUUCAGGGAACGACCUGCCCUCUUUUGGAAAGAAAAAAAAAUAGAAGAAGGAGAAGGAGAAGAGUAAGUGUGCGUGUGUGUGUGUGUGUGCGUGUGCGUGCGUGUGCGUGCAUGUUCGUGUGAGAGAGAGGGAGAGGGGAGGGGGAGAUACACACAGUGCUGCUUUCCUGAGCUGCCGCUUCCCAAGCAGAAACUAUCGGGAGAAACGCAGCGUCUUGGCUCUUUCCUGCAUUUACACAAUGAAAUCACUGCUGUUUUUAUUCCUGCUAACGGGCCGCUUUUGUUUGCAUCCACUCCGAGACAUGGACGAUGGGAACAAAUAAGUGCUUAAGAUCAAAUAGACAAAAAAAAAAAAAAAAAAAGAGAGAGAAAAAAAAGCCCAACCACGCUGGGAUGCUGGGAUGAGGAUUACUCACUUUAGCUCUGACUGGACCCGGGCGGCGCGGGGCUGGGAUUGUGCCGGAUUUCAAGGACACGGGAGAUGAUCGGGACUUUGGGAGCCAACAUCUGCCUGGCUGGUGACGUCAGCAGCCCCGUGUAAUCCUCUUGUACUGAAGGCAGAUGCCUUAUUUGUUUGGCUGGAGAGGCAUUAAUCCCUAAUUCUGGAGCAGCAAGCGAGGGGGAGAGACCGGACCGCUUCUUACCCCCCGACAGCCGCUCGCGGGGUUCUCCUCCUCUUUGCGCUCUGUGGCUCCGGUUGGGCGGAGGACGAGCCAGCCCUCGGCGCCCGCACGCAGGAGCCGCGCUGCCGAGGGCGGGCCUGAGCCUUCUGCCCGCCUCGCCCCCGGAUGCCCCGGCAAGCGGCGGAACAGCCCCCGGGAAGCCCACCUCGCC